This is a long non-coding RNA of Trachymyrmex cornetzi, 85 nucleotides long. RefSeq lists it as uncharacterized. NCBI's taxonomy places the organism in Eukaryota, Metazoa, Arthropoda, Insecta, Hymenoptera, Formicidae. The record is from RefSeq and is a predicted model, not a curated record. The transcript is spliced from 3 exons.
CCGAUGAUCGCUCACUUGCACAGGUGGACGAUCAAUUGCUUUCAUUGACACGCGGUACCGCGGAAACAGCGAACAAGAGAAUCCA